AUACGUAGGGUGCAAGCGUUAAUCGGAAUUACUGGGCGUAAAGCGUGCGCAGGCGGUUUUGUAAGACAGUGGUGAAAUCCCCGGGCUCAACCUGGGAACUGCCAUUGUGACUGCAAGGCUGGAGUGCGGCAGAGGGGGAUGGAAUUCCGCGUGUAGCAGUGAAAGGCGUAGAUAUGCGGAGGAACACCGAUGGCGAAGGCAAUCCCCUGGGCCUGCGCUGACGCUCAUGCACGAAAGCGUGGGGAGCAAACAGGAUUAGAUACCCUGGUAGUCCACGCCCUAAACGAUGUCAACUGGUUGUUGGGGAUUUAUUUUCUCAGUAACGAAGCUAACGCGUGAAGUUGACCGCCUGGGGAGUACGGCCGCAAGGUUAAAACUCAAAUGAAUUGGCGGGG
RNAcentral lists this ribosomal RNA (395 nucleotides) under uncultured bacterium. Its description in RNAcentral is "partial 16S ribosomal RNA". It matches the Rfam family "Bacterial small subunit ribosomal RNA", at positions 523 to 918 of the family's 1533-position model. The record is from RNAcentral.